RNAcentral lists this ribosomal RNA (497 nucleotides) under uncultured bacterium. RNAcentral describes it as "partial 16S ribosomal RNA". It matches the Rfam family "Bacterial small subunit ribosomal RNA", at positions 28 to 507 of the family's 1533-position model. The record is from RNAcentral.
GAUGAACGCUGGCGGCGUGCCUAAUACAUGCAAGUCGAGCGAACAGACGAGGAGCUUGCUCCUCUGACGUUAGCGGCGGACGUGUGAGUAACACGUGGAUAACCUACCUAUAAGACUGGGAUAACUUCGGGAAACCGGAGCUAAUACCGGAUAAUAUAUUGAACCGCAUGGUUCAAUAGUGAAAGACGGUUUUGCUGUCACUUAUAGAUGGAUCCGCGCCGCAUUAGCUAGUUGGUAAGGUAACGGCUUACCAAGGCAACGAUGCGUAGACGACCUGAGAGGGUGAUCGGCCACCCUGGAACUGAGACACGGUCCAGACUCCUACGGGAGGCAGCAGUAGGGAAUCUUCCGCAAUGGGCGAAAGCCUGACGGAGCAACGCCGCGUGAGUGAUGAAGGUCCUCGGAUCGUAAAACUGUGUUAUUAGGGAAGAACAAAUGUGUAAGUAAAUAUGCACGUCUUGACGGUAACUAAUAAGAAAGCCACGGCUAACUACGUG